CAGUCGCCGCGGUAAAACGGAGGGGGCUAGCGUUGUUCGGAAUUACUGGGCGUAAAGCGCACGUAGGCGGCUUGGUAAGUUAGAGGUGAAAGCCCAGGGCUCAACACUGGAAUUGCCUUUAAGACUGCCGAGCUAGUAGGUGAGAGAGGUGAGUGGAAUUCCGAGUGUAGAGGUGAAAUUCGUAGAUAUUCGGAAGAACACCAGUGGCGAAGGCGGCUCACUGGCUCAUUCUAGACGCUGAGGUGCGAAAGCGUGGGGAGCAAACAGGAUUAGAUACCCGAGUAGUCCCUGUCUCUUAUAC
Molecule: ribosomal RNA, 301 nt
Filed under: uncultured bacterium
Lineage: Bacteria
Description: partial 16S ribosomal RNA
Rfam family: Bacterial small subunit ribosomal RNA
Source: RNAcentral